This 473-nucleotide ribosomal RNA is filed under the name uncultured bacterium. RNAcentral describes it as "SSU rRNA". It matches the Rfam family "Bacterial small subunit ribosomal RNA", at positions 26 to 518 of the family's 1533-position model. The record is from RNAcentral.
AGGACGAACGCUGGCGGCGUGCUUAACACAUGCAAGUCGAGCGGAAAGGCCCUUCGGGGUACUCGAGCGGCGAACGGGUGAGUAACACGUGAGUAACCUGCCCCUAGCUCUGGGAUAGCUCCGGGAAACCGGGAUUAAUACCAGAUACGACCACUUUAGACAUCUGUCGUGGUGGAAAGGAUUCCGGCUAGGGAUGGGCUCGCGGCCUAUCAGCUUGUUGGUGGGGUAACGCCUACCAAGGCGACGACGGGUAGCCGGCCUGAGAGGGCGACCGGCCACACUUGGACUGAGACACGGCCCAGACUCCUACGGGAGGCAGCAGUGGGGAAUAUUGCGCAAUGGGCGAAAGCCUGACGCAGCGACGCCGCGUGGGGGAUGAAGGCCUUCGGGUUGUAAACCCCUUUCAGCAGGGACGAAGCGAAAGUGACGGUACCUGCAGAAGAAGCGCCGGCUAACUACGUGCCAGCAGCCGC